UCAGGACGAACGCUGGCGGCGUGCUUAACACAUGCAAGUCGAACGGAGAAUUUAUUUCGGUAAAUUCUUAGUGGCGAACGGGUGAGUAACGCGUAGGCAACCUGCCCUCCAGUUGGGGACAACAUUCCGAAAGGAAUGCUAAUACCGAAUGUGAUCCUUCUUCCGCAUGGAAGAAGGAUGAAAGAUGGCCUCUAUUUAUAAGCUAUCGCUGGAAGAUGGGCCUGCGUCUGAUUAGCUAGUUGGUGGGGUAACGGCUCACCAAGGCGAUGAUCAGUAGCCGGUCUGAGAGGAUGAACGG
Molecule: ribosomal RNA, 298 nt
Filed under: uncultured Bacillota bacterium
Lineage: Bacteria; Bacillati; Bacillota
Description: uncultured Firmicutes bacterium partial 16S ribosomal RNA
Rfam family: Bacterial small subunit ribosomal RNA
Source: RNAcentral